Molecule: long non-coding RNA, 1307 nt
Organism: Triticum dicoccoides
Lineage: Eukaryota; Viridiplantae; Streptophyta; Magnoliopsida; Poales; Poaceae
Exons: 3
Source: RefSeq, a predicted model, not a curated record
CCACCUGGUGGGUUCCUUGGUUUUUUUAAGAACACGCCAAGCCUUUCACAAGCUGUGAGCAAUGGGACUUUAUCGCAACAAAUCAAGAAAGGAGAUGCCACCAAUGGUGGCGAGUGUGCAAGGACUGAAAAGCGCUUGCUGUGGACAAAAGAGGAAGAUCUUAGAUUCGUAAGCUUUUUUCCAUGUUGGUCUCCAUGUGUUACAUUACUAGGAAAAGAAUAAACCUCUUUUGGUAAUAUUGUAGGUUGGUGCUUGGUUGAAUAAUUCAAACAAUCCAAUCCAAUCAAAUUACAAGAAGAACGACCAAUACUGGAAUGAAGUUGCUGCUGUCUACAAUAGUACCACCCCCCAAAACAGGGAAAGGCUAGUCAAGCAAGUGAAGGAUCGCUUUGGGAGAAUUAAGAAAAGGGUUGCAUGGUUUUGUGGGAGUUACAAGGAAGCUAGUGCACUGUAUGCUAGUGGUGAAUCUGAUGCUGAUUUAAAGAAGAGGGCAAUGCAAACUUAUGAGGCAGAUCACCCAGAAGACGGUCCAUUUAUGUUUGAGCAUUGUUGGGUAGUUCUAAAAGAGCAACCAAAAUGGGAUGCAUAUUUGGAACGCCUGGAAUAUGUGGAGCCGGACAAGAGGAAGUUUAGUGUUGAUGAUGAAGUGGGGCAACGUUUCACUCUAGAUGAUGAUAAAGAGGAACAUCCACCGGGUGGCAAGACAGCUAAAGGAAACGAAAAACAAAGGACGAAGGUUGUAUAAUAGAUCUUGAAGAUGAGCUUAGCAAGUUUUUAGAUGCUCAGAAUGCAGCAAAUGAAGUCCGCAAAGAGAUGUUAGAGACACAAAGGCGUGUGUCCAGUGAGAAUCUUGAGGCUCGGAAACUUGCAUGCCUUGCAGCAAAAGAUCACAAGGAGUCGGUCAUGCUAGAAACAUACCGCUCCUUGAUGAUGCAAGACACAAGUAGGAUGUCCGAAGAUGUGAGAUCCGAGCACAUGUUGGCAUUGAAGUGUUUCAGGGAGAAGCUAUUUGGAAAAACUGACUAAGGACUAUGCCGUGUCGUGGUGACUGCUGCAUGUGCAACCUACUGUGGCUGAAGAUUGUUGAUGCAGAUGGAUUCGUUGCUCCAUUUACCAUCAAAACUAAUGGCUUAUUUGCAUUGUCUCUUGUUUGGUUAAUGUUUUCUUAAAAAGACGGGUUGUAAUGUUUAAGUGUCGAUGUCAUGGUGUUAUGCGCCAUCAGUUUAUUGAUCGUCGACGUCAAGAUUAAAACUAACGGCUUGUUUGCCGGGCGUCUUAUUUAGUUCUAUGUUUGGUUAAUGCUUCCU